AUUUAAAUAGUUUAAUAAAAAUUUUGAUUUGUGGUAUCAAAGAUAGGAAAAAUCCUUUUAAAUA
This 64-nucleotide transfer RNA is filed under the name Epicypta sp. WQY004. RNAcentral describes it as "tRNA-His". The record is from RNAcentral. Lineage: Eukaryota; Metazoa; Arthropoda; Insecta; Diptera; Mycetophilidae.